This 189-nucleotide ribosomal RNA is filed under the name uncultured bacterium. Its description in RNAcentral is "partial 16S ribosomal RNA". It matches the Rfam family "Bacterial small subunit ribosomal RNA", at positions 338 to 524 of the family's 1533-position model. The record is from RNAcentral.
CCUACGGGAGGCAGCAGUGAGGAAUAUUGGUCAAUGGGCGCGAGCCUGAACCAGCCAAGUAGCGUGCAGGAUGACGGCCCUAUGGGUUGUAAACUGCUUUUAUGCGGGGAUAAAGUGCAGCACGUGUGCUGUUUUGUAGGUACCGCAUGAAUAAGGACCGGCUAAUUCCGUGCCAGCAGCCGCGGUAAU